Molecule: ribosomal RNA, 253 nt
Filed under: uncultured bacterium
Lineage: Bacteria
Description: partial 16S ribosomal RNA
Rfam family: Bacterial small subunit ribosomal RNA
Source: RNAcentral
UACGAAGGGGGCUAGCGUUGCUCGGAAUCACUGGGCGUAAAGCGCACGUAGGCGGACUCUUAAGUCGGUGGUGAAAUCCUGGAGCUCAACUCCAGAACUGCCUUCGAUACUGAGAGUCUCGAGUCCGGGAGAGGUGAGUGGAACUGCGAGUGUAGAGGUGAAAUUCGUAGAUAUUCGCAAGAACACCAGUGGCGAAGGCGGCUCACUGGACCGGAACUGACGCUGAGGCGCGAAAGCGUGGGGAGCAAACGGG